UUGGCUCAGUUGUUUAGAGCAUGGUGCUAAUAAUGCCAAUCUUGUGGGUUCCAUCCCCACA
Molecule: transfer RNA, 61 nt
Filed under: Ficedula albicollis (Collared flycatcher)
Lineage: Eukaryota; Metazoa; Chordata; Aves; Passeriformes; Muscicapidae
Rfam family: tRNA
About the family: Transfer RNA (tRNA) molecules are approximately 80 nucleotides in length. Their secondary structure includes four short double-helical elements and three loops (D, anti-codon, and T loops). Further hydrogen bonds mediate the characteristic L-shaped molecular structure. tRNAs have two regions of fundamental functional importance: the anti-codon, which is responsible for specific mRNA codon recognition, and the 3' end, to which the tRNAs corresponding amino acid is attached (by aminoacyl-tRNA synthetases). tRNAs cope with the degeneracy of the genetic code in two manners: having more than one tRNA (with a specific anti-codon) for a particular amino acid; and 'wobble' base-pairing, i.e. permitting non-standard base-pairing at the 3rd anti-codon position.
Source: Rfam by way of RNAcentral